This 433-nucleotide ribosomal RNA is filed under the name uncultured bacterium. RNAcentral describes it as "partial 16S ribosomal RNA". It matches the Rfam family "Bacterial small subunit ribosomal RNA", at positions 29 to 507 of the family's 1533-position model. The record is from RNAcentral.
AACGAGCGCUGGCGGCAUGCCUAACACAUGCAAGUCGAACGAGACCUUCGGGUCUAGUGGCGCACGGGUGCGUAACGCGUGGGAACCUGCCCUUAGGUUCGGAAUAACUCCCCGAAAGGGGUGCUAAUACCGGAUAAUGUCUUCGGACCAAAGAUUUAUCGCCUUUGGAUGGGCCCGCGUUGGAUUAGCUAGUUGGUAGGGUAAAAGCCUACCAAGGCGACGAUCCAUAGCUGGUCUGAGAGGAUGAUCAGCCACACUGGGACUGAGACACGGCCCAGACUCCUACGGGAGGCAGCAGUGGGGAAUAUUGGACAGUGGGCGAAAGCCUGAUCCAGCAAUGCCGCGUGAGUGAUGAAGGCCUUAGGGUUGUAAAGCUCUUUUACCCGGGAUGAUAAUGACAGUACCGGGAGAAUAAGCUCCGGCUAACUCCGUG